RNAcentral lists this transfer RNA (72 nucleotides) under Pelolinea sp. RNAcentral's name for it is "tRNA-Gly". It matches the Rfam family "tRNA". From Rfam's summary of the family: Transfer RNA (tRNA) molecules are approximately 80 nucleotides in length. The record is from RNAcentral. Lineage: Bacteria; Bacillati; Chloroflexota; Anaerolineae; Anaerolineales; Anaerolineaceae.
GCGGGCGUCGCCAAGUGGUAAGGCGUCAGCCUUCCAAGCUGAUAUUCGUGGGUUCGAAUCCCACCGCCCGCU